CAGUUCAGGGAUGAGUUCUGCAAGUCAAGACUUCUCCUGUUGGUUCCAGAGAACUGAUCUGCUGAAUGGAAGUUAAGGAAUUUGUGACGGCUUUCAGGAAACUUUGUCUUAGCCAAAUUUUCUAUUUGCAGCGUGAAAACUGGCUGUGUGGGAGAACCAUGACUUGGAGAGGGAAAGGAGGAAUGUAUCAGGCUUAACACACAGCAUAUGCCCUCCUUGCAGAAUGAAUUAGGGGAUGCUGGGAAGAGGAAGCAAUCAGGGUAGAUAGAGAGCUGUACUUGGAAGCAGUGAAAGAAAGCUGGUAGUAUCCUAGAGAGAUACGAGGAUCAGAACUCAGGAAAGAGUGUUGGAUUUCAAAGGAACUCAGGCUGUUAAGGGCUGACAAGCUUGGUCAGGGCACGCUGUGCUGGGACUGCUGGAUGAUGUGCUCCAGAGACAGUGUGCAGCGUUGGUCAGCCACCUUUCAUCAUCCUUGGUGCAGGGUGAGUUGGGACGCUGGUCAGCAUGGCGUGGUGACUCGCAUCUGCGUUCAUUCAAGACUUUGCGCCCAAACGGGCUAUGAAUAA
This 566-nucleotide long non-coding RNA is filed under the name Numida meleagris (helmeted guineafowl). RNAcentral describes it as "lncRNA (ENSNMEG00000014309.1)". Lineage: Eukaryota; Metazoa; Chordata; Aves; Galliformes; Numididae. The record is from RNAcentral.